RNAcentral lists this Y RNA (101 nucleotides) under Carlito syrichta (Philippine tarsier). Its description in RNAcentral is "Y RNA (ENSTSYG00000020065.2)". It matches the Rfam family "Y RNA". Rfam says of the family: Y RNAs are components of the Ro ribonucleoprotein particle (Ro RNP), in association with Ro60 and La proteins. Lineage: Eukaryota; Metazoa; Chordata; Mammalia; Primates; Tarsiidae. The record is from Rfam by way of RNAcentral.
GGCUGGUCUGAAGGUAGUGAGUUAUCUCAAUUGAUUGCUCAUAGUCAGUUACAGAUUGAAUGCCUUGUUCUACUCUUUCUCACCUCUGUACUUGACUUUAG